UGACCUCGGAUCAGGUAGGAAUACCCGCUGAACUUAAGCAUAUCAUAGGCCCGGAAGGAAA
This 61-nucleotide ribosomal RNA is filed under the name Trichoderma harzianum. Its description in RNAcentral is "partial 28S ribosomal RNA". Lineage: Eukaryota; Fungi; Ascomycota; Sordariomycetes; Hypocreales; Hypocreaceae. The record is from RNAcentral.